RNAcentral lists this ribosomal RNA (253 nucleotides) under uncultured bacterium. RNAcentral describes it as "partial 16S ribosomal RNA". It matches the Rfam family "Bacterial small subunit ribosomal RNA", at positions 524 to 776 of the family's 1533-position model. The record is from RNAcentral.
UACGAGGGGGGCAAGCGUUGUUCGGAAUUAUUGGGCGUAAAGGGCGCGUAGGCGGUCUGACAAGUCUUGUGUGAAAUCUCUGGGCUCAACCCAGAGUCUGCACAGGAAACUGUCGGGCUAGAGUAUGGGAGAGGUGCGUGGAAUUUCCGGUGUAGCGGUGAAAUGCGUAGAUAUUGGGAGGAACACCAGUGGCGAAGGCGGCUCACUGGACCGGUUCUGACGCUGAAGCGCGAAAGCGUGGGGAGCAAACGGG